AGUUUGCGUGAGGGAUAGAAGUGGAAAGUCCACAGCCUGACGAAGGAAGAGCGAGGACUUGCAACGGAUAGCCCGACCCGGA
RNAcentral lists this unclassified non-coding RNA (82 nucleotides) under Flavobacterium nitrogenifigens. RNAcentral's name for it is "Flavo-1 RNA". Lineage: Bacteria; Pseudomonadati; Bacteroidota; Flavobacteriia; Flavobacteriales; Flavobacteriaceae. The record is from RNAcentral.